AAUCAACGCUGGCGGCGUGCCUCAGACAUGCAAGUCGAACGCGAAAGGUUCCUUCGGGAACCGAGUAGAGUGGCGCACGGGUGAGUAACACGUAGGUAAUUUGCCUUUGGGUGGGGAAUAACAGCCGGAAACGGCUGCUAAUACCGCAUAAUGCAGCGGCUCGACAUCGAGACAGUUGUUAAAGCGGGGGAUCGCAAGACCUCGCGCCUAAAGAGAAGCCUGCGGCAGAUAGCUAGUUGGUAGGGUAAUGGCCUACCAAGGCGACGAUCUGUAACCGGCCUGAGAGGGCGGUCGGUCACACUGACACUGACAUACGGGUCAGACUCCUACGGGAGGCAGCAGUCGGGAAUUUUGGGCAAUGGGCGAAAGCCUGACCCAGCAACGCCGCGUGAAGGAUGAAAUCCCUCGGGAUGUAAACUUCGCAAGAAUGGGAAGAAUAAGUGUGGGCUAAUACCCUUCAUGAUGACGGUACCAUUUGUAAGCUCCGGCUAACUUCGU
Molecule: ribosomal RNA, 498 nt
Filed under: uncultured bacterium
Lineage: Bacteria
Description: bacterial SSU rRNA
Rfam family: Bacterial small subunit ribosomal RNA
Source: RNAcentral